RNAcentral lists this ribosomal RNA (291 nucleotides) under uncultured bacterium. RNAcentral describes it as "partial 16S ribosomal RNA". It matches the Rfam family "Bacterial small subunit ribosomal RNA", at positions 337 to 624 of the family's 1533-position model. The record is from RNAcentral.
GCCUACGGGAGGCAGCAGUGAGGAAUAUUGGUCAAUGGGCGGAAGCCUGAACCAGCCAAGUCGCGUGAGGGAAUAAGGCCCUACGGGUCGUAAACCUCUUUUGCCGGGGAGCAAGGGCGGGGACGUGUCCCGGCCCGGAGAGUACCCGGAGAAAAAGCAUCGGCUAACUCCGUGCCAGCAGCCGAGGUAAUACGGAGGAUGCGAGCGUUAUCCGGAUUUAUUGGGUUUAAAGGGUGCGUAGGCGGUCGGAUAAGUUAGAGGUGAAAUCCCGAGGCUCAAAUUCGGAAUUGC